CAACGCUGGCGGCGUGCCUAACACAUGCAAGUCGAACGCGAAAGGGGCUUCGGCCCUGAGUAGAGUGGCGUCCGGGUGAGUAACGCGUGGGUAAUCUACCCUCGGGUGGGGAAUAACCAAUCGAAAGAUUGGCUAAUACCGCAUAAUGCAGCGGCUCGACAUCGAGACAGUUGUUAAAAGCAGCAAUGCGCCAGAGGAGGAGCCCUGCGUCUGAUUAGCUUGNGGCGGGGUAACGGCCCACCAAGGCUACGAUCAGUAGCUGGUCUGAGAGGACGGCC
Molecule: ribosomal RNA, 278 nt
Filed under: uncultured bacterium
Lineage: Bacteria
Description: partial 16S ribosomal RNA
Rfam family: Bacterial small subunit ribosomal RNA
Source: RNAcentral